UACGUAGGAGGCGAGCGUUGUCCGGAAUUACUGGGCGUAAAGGGCGUGCAGGCGGUUGGUUAAGUCCAGGGUGAAAGCUCCCGGCUCAACUGGGAGAGGUCCUUGGAUACUGGCCGACUUGAGGGAGGCAGAGGAGAGUGGAAUUCCCGGUGUAGUGGUGAUAUGCGUAGAUAUCGGGAGGAACACCAGUGGCGAAGGCGGCUCUCUGGGCCUUACCUGACGCUGAGACGCGAAAGCGUGGGGAGCGAACCGG
This 253-nucleotide ribosomal RNA is filed under the name uncultured bacterium. Its description in RNAcentral is "partial 16S ribosomal RNA". It matches the Rfam family "Bacterial small subunit ribosomal RNA", at positions 524 to 776 of the family's 1533-position model. The record is from RNAcentral.